This 87-nucleotide transfer RNA is filed under the name marine sediment metagenome. RNAcentral's name for it is "tRNA-Thr". It matches the Rfam family "tRNA". Rfam says of the family: Transfer RNA (tRNA) molecules are approximately 80 nucleotides in length. The record is from RNAcentral.
GGCCCCGUAGCUCAAGUGGUUAGCAGCGUCCUUGUGACAACAUUUGAAACUCAAGAGUAGUUGCAGGUUCGAGUCCUGCCGGGGCCU